AUUGAACGCUGGCGGUAUGCUUAAGACAUGCAAGUCGAACGGUAACAGGUUAAGCUGACGAGUGGCGGACGAGUGAGUAACGCGUGGGAAUCUACCUUGUAGUGGGGGAUAAGCCAGGGAAACUUGGACUAAUACCGCAUACGCCCUAAGGGGGAAAGGCGCAAGUCGCUAUAAGAUGAGCCCGCGUCUGAUUAGGUAGUUGGUGGGGUAAAGGCCUACCAAGCCGACGAUCAGUAGCUGGUCUGAGAGGAUGAUCAGCCACGUCGGGACUGAGACACGGCCCGGACUCCUACGGGAGGCAGCAGUCGGGAAUAUUGGACAAUGGGGGAAACCCUGAUCCAGCAAUACCGCGUGUGUGAAGAAGGCCUGCGGGUUGUAAAGCACUUUCAGUUGGGAAGAUAAUGACGUUACC
RNAcentral lists this ribosomal RNA (412 nucleotides) under uncultured bacterium. RNAcentral describes it as "bacterial SSU rRNA". It matches the Rfam family "Bacterial small subunit ribosomal RNA", at positions 30 to 479 of the family's 1533-position model. The record is from RNAcentral.